GCCAGGCAUGGUGGUGCAUGCUUGUAAUCCCAGCACUUUGGGAGGCUGAGGUGGGGGGAUCACUUGAGGUCAGGAGUUCAAAACCAGCCUGGCCAACAUGGUGAAACCCAGUCUGUACUAAAAAUAAUAAAAAUUAGUCAGGCACAGUGGUGCAUGCUUGUAAUCCCAGAGGCCAAGGUGGGCAGGUCACUUGAGGUCAGGCAUUCAAGACCAGCCUGGCCACCAUGUUGAAACCCCAUCUCU
Molecule: small RNA, 243 nt
Filed under: Saimiri boliviensis boliviensis (Bolivian squirrel monkey)
Lineage: Eukaryota; Metazoa; Chordata; Mammalia; Primates; Cebidae
Description: Metazoan signal recognition particle RNA (ENSSBOG00000003032.1)
Source: RNAcentral